GUUGAUCCUGCGGGAGGUCGCUGCUAUCGGGAUUCGAUUAAGCCAUGCAAGUCCAGGGGUCGCAAGACACCGGCAUACUGCUCAGUAACACGUCGGUAACAUACCCUUAGGCCCGGAAUAACCUUGGGAAACUGAGGCUAAUACCGGAUAGGUGAUUUGUACUGGAAUGUCUUUUCAUUUAAACAUUAGGUCUAAGGAUUGGCUGGCGGCGGAUUAGGUUGUUGGUGGGGUAAUGGCCCACCAAGCCGAAGAUCCGUAGGGGCCUCGGAAGAGGUAGCCCCGAGAAGGGCACUGAGAUACUGGCCCUAGCCCUACGGGGUGCAGCAGGCGCGAAACCUUUACAAUGCACGAAAGUGUGAUAAGGGAAUCCUGAGUGCUCAUGUUUUACAUGGGCUUUUUUUUAAGUGUAAAUAACUUAUAGAAUAAGGGGUGGGCAAGACUGGUGCCAGCAGCCGCGGUAACACCAGCGCCCCAAGUGGGGACUCUGAUUAUUGGGCCUAAAGCGUUCGUAGCAGGUUAAGUAGAUGCUUUGUGAAAUUGUUGGGCUAAACCUAACAACGUGCAGAGUAGACCGCUUGACUUGGGACCGGGAGGAGCCAGAAGAAUUUUGGGGGGAGCGGUAAAAUGCGAUAAUCCUCGAAAGACUAUCUGUGGCGAAGGCGUCUGGCCAGAACGGAUCCGACUGUGAGGAACGAAAGCUAGGGGAGCGAUCCGGAUUAGAUACCCGAGUAGUCCUAGCCGUAAACGCUGUGUGUUAGGUGUUGCAUAUUCUUCAGGAAUGUGCAGUGUCGUAGCGAAGGCGUUAAACACACCGCCUGGGUAGUACGGUCGCAAGACUGAAACUUAAAGGAAUUGGCGGGGGAGCACUACAAGGGGUGCGGCGUGCGGUUUAAUUGAACUCAACACCGGAAAUCUCACCAGGGGCGACGGCAGAAUGAAGGCCAGGUUGAAGGCCUUGCCUGACGAGCCGAGAGGUGAUGCAUGGCCGUCGUCAGCUCGUGCUGUAAAGUGUCCUGCUAAGCCAGGCAACGAGCGAGACCUGUAUCUACAAUUGCUAGCAACCAAUUUAUUGGGAUUGAGCACAUUGUAGAGACUGCUGUGGAAACGCAGAGGAAGGUGCAGGCAACGAUAGGUCUGUAUGCCCCGAAUCUCCUGGGCUACACGCGCGCAACAAUGGUAGGGACAAUGGGACACAACUCCGAAAGGAGAAGUUAAUCCUCGAAACCCUAUCUCAGUUCAGAUCGAGGGCUGCAACUCGCCCUCGUGACGUCGGAAUCCCUAGUAAUCAGACGUCAACAGCGUCUGGUGAAUAUGUCCCUGCUCCUUGCACACACCGCCCGUCAAACCACCCGAGCAGGGUUUAGAUGAGAAUUAUGAAUAAUUGCUUGAUUCGAAUCUGGGCUCAGUGAGGAGGGUUAAGUCGUCACAAGGUA
Molecule: ribosomal RNA, 1433 nt
Filed under: metagenome
Description: bacterial SSU rRNA
Rfam family: Archaeal small subunit ribosomal RNA
Source: RNAcentral